UCUUCAUUUCACACACUCUCUCAUCGGUCAGAAAGAGACGAGAGAGUGUGCGGAAUGAAGAGA
This is a non-coding RNA of Pristionchus pacificus, 63 nucleotides long. The record is from Rfam. NCBI's taxonomy places the organism in Eukaryota, Metazoa, Nematoda, Chromadorea, Rhabditida, Neodiplogasteridae.